UGCUGAUGUCCAAUCCGUUACCUUUCUGACCAUCCCUUCCAUCUUUGAGGUGAACUGACCACCACUAAUAUAAGCGAGCAGCUUUACCACCUUUUCCAGUGUUUCCUCAAUGGCUUCAUCACUCAGCUUCUCGCUCCCACCUUUCUUAAGAAUAUUAUCACAGAAAGUGGCUAAUAGUUCUGCACUGGAACUUCCAGCGACACCCUUGUUGCAGAAGACUUCAAAAGCUUCUUUCAAUGCCUUGUGGAAAAGAGUGUGGUUCUGGAAACAAUCAU
RNAcentral lists this unclassified non-coding RNA (275 nucleotides) under Hevea brasiliensis (rubber tree). The record is from RNAcentral. Lineage: Eukaryota; Viridiplantae; Streptophyta; Magnoliopsida; Malpighiales; Euphorbiaceae.